RNAcentral lists this transfer RNA (57 nucleotides) under Mesocricetus auratus (golden hamster). It matches the Rfam family "tRNA", at positions 9 to 63 of the family's 71-position model. Rfam says of the family: Transfer RNA (tRNA) molecules are approximately 80 nucleotides in length. Their secondary structure includes four short double-helical elements and three loops (D, anti-codon, and T loops). Lineage: Eukaryota; Metazoa; Chordata; Mammalia; Rodentia; Cricetidae. The record is from Rfam by way of RNAcentral.
GGCUCAGUGGUUAAGAGCACUGGCUCCUCUUCCAGAGGACCUGGGUUCAAUUCCCAG